UAAACUAGGAUUAGAUACCCUAUUAUUUUAAAUGUAAAUAAAAUUUACUAAAUUAGUAUUAGGUAUGUUCUUGAAAAUUAAAAAAUUUGGCGGUAUUUUAGUCUUUUCAGAGGAAUCUGCCCUGUAAUUGAUAGUCCACGAUUUAAAUUACUUUAUUUUUAUUGUUUACAUAUCGUCGUAGAUUAAAUAUUUUAAUAGAAUAUUAAUAUUUGAGAUUUUUAAUUAAAAAAUAAAUCAGAUCAAGGUGUAGUUUAUGGUAAAGGAGAGGUGGAUUACAUUUAAUUUAUUAAAGAAUAAUUUUUUUAAAAAAAAUUUGAAUUUGGAUUUGAAAGUAAUUUUAAAAAUUUUUUAAAAUGAUUUUAGCUCUAAAAUAUGCACACAUCGCCCGUCGCUCUUAA
Molecule: ribosomal RNA, 398 nt
Filed under: Bruchidius hiekei
Lineage: Eukaryota; Metazoa; Arthropoda; Insecta; Coleoptera; Chrysomelidae
Description: partial 12S ribosomal RNA
Source: RNAcentral